Molecule: ribosomal RNA, 440 nt
Filed under: uncultured bacterium
Lineage: Bacteria
Description: partial 16S ribosomal RNA
Rfam family: Bacterial small subunit ribosomal RNA
Source: RNAcentral
CCUACGGGAGGCAGCAGUGGGGAAUAUUGCACAAUGGGGGAAACCCUGAUGCAGCGACGCCGCGUGAGCGAUGAAGUAUUUCGGUAUGUAAAGCUCUAUCAGCAGGGAAGAAAAUGACGGUACCUGAUUAAGAAGCCCCGGCUAACUACGUGCCAGCAGCCGCGGUAAUACGUAGGGGGCAAGCGUUAUCCGGAUUUACUGGGUGUAAAGGGAGCGUAGACGGCGGAGCAAGCCAGAUGUGAAAGCCCGGGGCUUAACCCCGGGACUGCAUUUGAAACUGUGCUGCUAGAGUGUCGGAGAGGCAGGUGGAAUUCCUAGUGUAGCGGUGAAAUGCGUAGAUAUUAGGAGGAACACCAGUGGCGAAGGCGGCUUGCUGGACGGUGACUGACGUUGAGGCUCGAAAGCGUGGGGAGCAAACAGGAUUAGAUACCCGUGUAGUC